GGAUGCUCCGGUUGGAUGCAUGUCCUUCCGGGAAAGAUUCUAUCGGUAUGGGAUGGGGUCGCGUCCUAUCAGCUUGAUGGCGGGGUAACGGCCCACCAUGGCUUCGACGGGUAGCCGGCCUGAGAGGGCGACCGGCCACAUUGGGACUGAGAUACGGCCCAGACUCCUACGGGAGGCAGCAGUGGGGAAUAUUGCACAAUGGGCGCAAGCCUGAUGCAGCGACGCCGCGUGCGGGAUGGAGGCCUUCGGGUUGUAAACCGCUUUUGAUCGGGAGCAAGCCCUUCGGGGUGAGUGUACCUUUCGAAUAAGCACCGGCUAACUACGUGCCAGCAGCCGCGGUAAUACGUAGGGUGCAAGCGUUAUCCGGAAUUAUUGGGCGUAAAGGGCUCGUAGGCGGUUCGUCGCGUCCGGUGUGAAAGCCCAUCGCUUAACGGUGGGUCUGCGCCGGGUACGG
This 454-nucleotide ribosomal RNA is filed under the name uncultured Bifidobacterium sp. RNAcentral's name for it is "bacterial SSU rRNA". It matches the Rfam family "Bacterial small subunit ribosomal RNA", at positions 171 to 635 of the family's 1533-position model. The record is from RNAcentral. Lineage: Bacteria; Bacillati; Actinomycetota; Actinomycetes; Bifidobacteriales; Bifidobacteriaceae.